GACGAACGCUGGCGGCGUGCCUAAUACAUGCAAGUAGAACGCUGAAGGAGGAGCUUGCUUCUCUGGAUGAGUUGCGAACGGGUGAGUAACGCGUAGGUAACCUGCCUGGUAGCGGGGGAUAACUAUUGGAAACGAUAGCUAAUACCGCAUAAUAGUAGAUGUUGCAUGACAUUUGCUUAAAAGGUGCAAUUGCAUCACUACCAGAUGGACCUGCGUUGUAUUAGCUAGUUGGUGGGGUAACGGCUCACCAAGGCGACGAUACAUAGCCGACCUGAGAGGGUGAUCGGCCACACUGGGACUGAGACACGGCCCAGACUCCUACGGGAGGCAGCAGUAGGGAAUCUUCGGCAAUAGACGGAAGGCUGACCGAGCAACGCCGCGUGAGUGAAGAAGGUUGUCGGAUCGUAAAGCUCUGUUGUAAGAGAAGAACGAGUGUGAGAGUGGAAAGUUCACACUGUGACGGUAUCUUACCAGAAAGGGACGGCUAACUACGUG
This 495-nucleotide ribosomal RNA is filed under the name uncultured bacterium. Its description in RNAcentral is "partial 16S ribosomal RNA". It matches the Rfam family "Bacterial small subunit ribosomal RNA", at positions 28 to 507 of the family's 1533-position model. The record is from RNAcentral.